GGGAACCGGUACAGAGUCAAUGUGGAGGCUAUAUACAGGGGGUACCGGUACAGAGUCAAUGUGGAGGCUAUAUACAGGGGGUACUGGUACAGAGUCAAUGUGGAAGCUAUAUACAGGGUGUUACGGUACAGAGUCAAUGUGGAGGCUAUAUACAGGGGGUACCAGUACAGAGUCAAUGUGGAGGCUAUAUACAGGGGGAACCAGUACAGAGUCAAUGUGGAGGCUAUAUACAGGGGGUACCGGUACAGAGUCAAUGUGGAGGCUAUAUACAGGGGGUACUGGUACAGAGUCAAUGUGGAGGCUAUAUACAGGGGGUACCAGUACAGAGUCAAUGUGGAGGCUAUAUACAGGGGGAACCGGUACAGAGUCAAUGUGGAGGCUAUAUACAGGGGGUACCGGUACAGAGUCAAUGUG
RNAcentral lists this long non-coding RNA (414 nucleotides) under Salmo salar (Atlantic salmon). RNAcentral describes it as "lncRNA (ENSSSAG00000104599.1)". The record is from RNAcentral. Lineage: Eukaryota; Metazoa; Chordata; Actinopteri; Salmoniformes; Salmonidae.